Long non-coding RNA from Solanum tuberosum (potato), 1067 nucleotides. RefSeq lists it as uncharacterized. The transcript is spliced from 3 exons. NCBI's taxonomy places the organism in Eukaryota, Viridiplantae, Streptophyta, Magnoliopsida, Solanales, Solanaceae. The record is from RefSeq and is a predicted model, not a curated record.
AUGUGAUAGGGUUUACUUCUGGCCAACAUUGAACUCUCCAUCUCUACUCACCUUUUCAAUUUUCACUUUGUUAUUCGUUCUCUCCAUCAUAGUAAUGAAGUUGUUGGAUUGAAGUUCCAAUUUCUCUGCUUCUCAGGGGAAGAAAGUGAUAAGCUAGGUCAUCGAAAUGAUGACGAAGCUGAUGAAGGUUGCCUAGAAUUGGAAGAAAUUCCAACCAGAACACAUACAACUUUUCCCCCAAAAGUCCAACUGCGUAAAUUUAUUACAUACCCAUAACCGAUCUGUUUGUUCUAUGUGUUCCAUGUUAUUUGUGUGCAUGCAUAUACAAAAAUGAAGGGCAAAAAAUUAGUGUACUAGAAGUAACAAGGUAUGAUUAUGAUUUCUCAAUGAUUAGUUGACUUGAGAAAGAUUUUAUAUAUAGGACUUAAUUGGAGUGUAUUAUUCCUCAACACAUGCACUUUUAAUGAGAAGGUUUAAUUAUAUCCUGCAGAUUGAUGCAUUUGUGGGUUGCACAUUAAUUCCUAAUUAAUUAAUGAAAGUUGCUAUGGUUUUUCUUUUUCUUCUCCUAGAUUGAUUUUUAAAGCUAGCUAAAAGGAGCUCAAACGCUGAUGGAGAAUGUGGUUUUAUUUUAAAGUUUUUUCACUUGAGAGGUUUUUUCCAUGAUUUACAUUCACAUGUAAUUGAAUUUUUGGAUCGGUAUAUGAUACAAAUUAGGUCAUCAUCUUGAGCUAGAAAAAAGUGCUUAAGUUGAAAGAUUAGUCAAGUCCUUACACUCACUUCUUGCCAAUCUCUUACUAUAUUUAGAAGGAUAAAAAGCUUAGCAAGGAACAUGCAUGUGUGGACUUUGAGCUUGACCACUGAUCACAUUGAGUUUACAUCUGGAAGAAAAACUUUGAUGCCGCUGUUGAGAUAUAAAUCAUUUAUAUCACAUUUUAGUUCACACGGUUAGUGAGUCAGAGUUAGUUAGGAAAGUUGUUAGUUAGUUAAUAGCUUAAAGUGUGUGUAUAUAAUGAUCAAUUGUAAUGUUCAGUUCUCUCAAUUUUUACAUUCAAUGAAAUAUAAUUUUC